Molecule: long non-coding RNA, 1500 nt
Filed under: Equus caballus (horse)
Lineage: Eukaryota; Metazoa; Chordata; Mammalia; Perissodactyla; Equidae
Description: lncRNA (ENSECAG00000056414.1)
Source: RNAcentral
UUUCGAAGAGCAAGAAUACCUUUCCCAGAAGCUCCCCAGAAGUAGCGCCCCGGUUCCAGUGACCAGAAAUGAGUCAGUGGGUCUCCGCCCACAACUAAACCAAUCAAGGGCAAGGUGAACGAGUCUACCAGGAUUGGCUCGGGCUAAUCAAGAUUUACCCUGGAUCCCUGGAUUUUAGGUAGAGGAGUGACAUGAUCAGAUGAGUAUCUUGAAAAGGCCACUUUGUAUGGAGAACAGAUUGCAGAGCUGUGAGAGAAGGAGGACAUCUGGGAAAGUGUUGCAGUGGUUCAGCAAGAGACGAGUGCAUGAAUUUGAUGGUGGAUGGAGAAGCGAAGGAGUGCCAGAGAUAUUUACAAGGUGGAAUGGACAGGACUUGGCCUGGAUUAGAUAUGGGGAUGAGGAAACUGAGGCUCAGAGAAGGAGGCCACAGCCAGAGAAGCAGCAGAAAUGGAAUCUGUUUUGAUGUCUUCCCUCUCACCAAGCUCUGCUUCUCCUCCAGAUAACAGCACCCUACUUUCCCUUGAGAGCUCACCCUCCUAACUUGCUCUUCAUCCAGGUUGUUCAGAUGGGACUGACUCCGCCCCUCAACCCCAGCUCCAAGUGAACCAGGACUGGCCAAUCAGAAUAUUCCACUCCUUCUCACUCUCCACCACCCCCGCUGGUUCAAGGAUUGUCAUGUGAUAUGAACUAGUCUAAAGACCCUCCAUUCUGGGGUCUUGGACUUCUGGCAGAAAUCUUGGGAACAAGAAACUCUUGGUCCUAAGCUGAGAGGAUGUCAGCCCUGGACACCACCUUCGGCAGGCUUGGUUCUUCAUGUCUCUCCGUCCAGCGGUCCCAGUUCCCAGCAGAGGGACUCUGAUGGUCUAGCACAGGCCAGGCCUCCAGUCCACAUCGUUGUCUGUGGCUAGGAGGAUGGGGUGGGGCACAAACCACCACAUAGCAUCAAUCUCGGAUGCCAGGAAAACAGACAUGAUAAAAUGAAGGUCAAAGCUCUUGCCAGUCCCAACCUCUCCAUGGGUAAAAAUGGGCCCCCAUCUGUCCCCAUUGACUCCAUGACCUGUCUUUGCCAACAAGGUGUUAAUAGAAUUCUCUAAGCCGUGGGCACAAGGCAAAUGGCCCAGCAGAUAACAUGAAUAUGGGAAUCAAGCCAGGUAUGAGCCAAUAGAUCUAAAACUCUGGCGCUGUGGCCAGGCCACAUGCCUGCCUCGAUAUGUUGCUUCUAACACAACACAGGCCAAUGAACAAGGGACCAAAAAUGGCCCCCAGGCUGCCAGUUGGCAACCCCUGCAAAGCUGCUAAAUAGUGCCCCUUUGGGCUGGAUGCCUAUCUUCCUAUGAGGAAUUCUAGCCAAUUCAUCAGCCAACAGUCUCUAUAUGAUUGAGAGGUGACACCAAGGAAACAAAGACCUGGAAAAUAUGUCCUUUUUAUGUGAGGGAUAAAGAAACAAAGAGUGGAUACAGCAUUUGACUUCACAAAGCUUGCAGUCUAAUUAAAGAGAUG